AUUGGGCACCUUGCCAUUGGCCCUUCGCCCACCCGGGAGCUGUGAUCCUGCACUUCGGGUCCCUGAGGUCUGGAUUCUUUCUCCCCUACUGAGACGCAGCCAGGGUCAGGACGAAGGAAGAAGGAGGGCUUCGGAGUGCGACGGGGGUUAGGUGAAGCUGGGGCAAUGCUGGGGUGCUGUUGGUGGUAUUCCAGUCCCAGAAACGCCUGGAACUCCCAACAGAGGACAAAUUCCAGACUCCUCAAGGGACAUCAAGGCUGGAAUGUCGUGGACGGUAAGGAAGGGGCCUAGAAAGUGGGAACACUCCGGACUGGUGAC
RNAcentral lists this long non-coding RNA (318 nucleotides) under Homo sapiens (human). RNAcentral describes it as "non-protein coding lnc-XAGE5-2:1". Lineage: Eukaryota; Metazoa; Chordata; Mammalia; Primates; Hominidae. The record is from RNAcentral.